AUGACGUCCAAGACUGCUUUCCUGGCGGCUUUCAUGGUCACUUUUUCUGCCCAUCCCCCGACCCCCCCUGAGCUGGUGGUGCUGGCCCCCUCCCAGGCCCUCUCCUCUGGGGACAGGCCUACUGUGGUGUGCCUGGCUCAGGGCUUCUACCCUGAUGGUGCCACCCUGAGCUGGUCAGAGGAUGGCAAAGAAGUGGCGGCCACUGACUUCCAGACGGGCCCGUCUCAGCGCCAGUCUGAUGGCACCUUCUCCCUCAGCAGCGUCCUGACGGUGCAGCCGCAACGCUGGCACUCUGGCCGUUCCUACAGCUGCCAGCUGCAGCACUCUGCCCUCUCCAGGCCUCUGAGCAAGGCUGUGGACAACGCUCACUGCAGCUAGACAGGCUACAGUGGACAACGCUCACUGCAGCUAG
This is a non-coding RNA of Engraulis encrasicolus (European anchovy), 412 nucleotides long. Lineage: Eukaryota; Metazoa; Chordata; Actinopteri; Clupeiformes; Engraulidae. The record is from the annotation of a RefSeq genome assembly.